CCUACGGGAGGCAGCAGUGAGGAAUAUUGGUCAAUGGACGAGAGUCUGAACCAGCCAAGUAGCGUGAGGGAAGACUGCCCUAUGGGUUGUAAACCUCUUUUAUGCGGGGAUAAAGGUGUCCACGUGUGGAUGUUUGCAGGUACCGCAUGAAUAAGGACCGGCUAAUUCCGUGCCAGCAGCCGCGGUAAUACGGAGGGUCCGGGCGUUAUCCGGAUUUAGUGGGUUUAAAGGGAGCGUAGGCCGGUCUUUAAGCGUGCCGUGAAAUUUUGUGGCUCAACCAUGGGAGUGCGGCGCGAACUGGAGACCUUGAGUGCGCGGAAGGCAGGCGGAAUUCGUGGUGUAGCGGUGAAAUGCUUAGAUAUCACGAAGAACCCCGAUGGCGAAGGCAGCCUGCCGCAGCGUUACUGACGCUGAAGCUCGAAAGCGCGGGUAUCGAACAGGAUUAGAUACCCUUGUAGUC
This 460-nucleotide ribosomal RNA is filed under the name uncultured bacterium. RNAcentral describes it as "partial 16S ribosomal RNA". It matches the Rfam family "Bacterial small subunit ribosomal RNA", at positions 338 to 795 of the family's 1533-position model. The record is from RNAcentral.